Non-coding RNA from Cavia porcellus (domestic guinea pig), 46 nucleotides. The record is from Rfam. NCBI's taxonomy places the organism in Eukaryota, Metazoa, Chordata, Mammalia, Rodentia, Caviidae.
CCAACGGCCCUUUUUAGGGCUACCCACACAGUCACUAGGAGGGCUG